This 163-nucleotide ribosomal RNA is filed under the name Acer albopurpurascens x Acer buergerianum var. formosanum. RNAcentral describes it as "5.8S ribosomal RNA". It matches the Rfam family "5.8S ribosomal RNA". From Rfam's summary of the family: 5.8S ribosomal RNA (5.8S rRNA) is a component of the large subunit of the eukaryotic ribosome. It is transcribed by RNA polymerase I as part of the 45S precursor that also contains 18S and 28S rRNA. The record is from RNAcentral. Lineage: Eukaryota; Viridiplantae; Streptophyta; Magnoliopsida; Sapindales; Sapindaceae.
AAAACGACUCUCGGCAACGGAUAUCUCGGCUCUCGCAUCGAUGAAGAACGUAGCGAAAUGCGAUACUUGGUGUGAAUUGCAGAAUCCCGUGAACCAUCGAGUCUUUGAACGCAAGUUGCGCCCAAGCCGUUAGGCCGAGGGCACGCCUGCCUGGGUGUCACGC